RNAcentral lists this small RNA (583 nucleotides) under Pongo abelii (Sumatran orangutan). Its description in RNAcentral is "processed transcript". The record is from RNAcentral. Lineage: Eukaryota; Metazoa; Chordata; Mammalia; Primates; Hominidae.
GCUUUCUGUAGGUAGUUCGAAGGCUUUUGAGAAGAGGGACACUAUCACUAUGCUCAGUUCUGAUUUUUGCAGUUUUGGAAAAUAUGCCCCAUGGAGCACAUUCUGGUUCGUCUGGAAACUGAUUCUCGACCUGUGUCUCGGCGCCUGGUGAGCCUCAUCUUUAAUUCUUUCCUGCCUGUGAAUCAGCCGGAGGAGGUCUGGUGCGAGCGCUGUGUCACCCUGGUGCAGAUGAACCACGCUGCUGCCAGGAGGUUCUAUCAGUACGCCCACGAACACACCGCCUGCACCAACAUAGCAAAGCUGAUUCACGUUAUUCGUCAUUGCUUAAAUGCCUGUAUCCAGAGGGCAGUGAGAGAGCCUCCAGAGGAUGAGGAGGAAGAGGACGGAAGGGAGAAGGAGAAUGUGACUGAUGAUCGCUGCAAGAUCCCUUUAUUCAUGCUAAUGUCCUUUAUGCCGGCCUCUGCUGUCCCUCCAUUCAGCUGUGGUGUGAUUUCCACGCUGAGAAGCCGGGAGGAGGGCGCUGUGGACAAGAGCUACUGCACUUUGUUGGAUUGCCUCUGCUCCUGGGGGCAGGUGGGGCACA